AGCGAACGCUGGCGGCAGGCCUAACACAUGCAAGUCGAACGGAUCCUUCGGGAUUAGUGGCGGACGGGUGAGUAACACGUGGGAACGUGCCCUUUGGUUCGGAACAACUCAGGGAAACUUGAGCUAAUACCGGAUGUGCCCCUCGGGGGAAAGAUUUAUCGCCAUUGGAGCGGCCCGCGUCUGAUUAGCUAGUUGGUGGGGUAAAGGCCCACCAAGGCGAAGAUCAGUAGCUGGUCUGAGAGGAUGAUCAGCCACAUUGGGACUGAGACACGGCCCAAACUCCUACGGGAGGCAGCAGUGGGGAAUCUUGCGCAAUGGGCGAAAGCCUGACGCAGCCAUGCCGCGUGAAUGAUGAAGGUCGUAGGAUUGUAAAAUUCUUUCACCGGGGACGAUAAUGACGGUACCCGGAGAAGAAGCCCCGGCUAACUUCGUGCCAGCCGCCGCGGUAA
This 449-nucleotide ribosomal RNA is filed under the name uncultured bacterium. RNAcentral's name for it is "partial 16S ribosomal RNA". It matches the Rfam family "Bacterial small subunit ribosomal RNA", at positions 29 to 523 of the family's 1533-position model. The record is from RNAcentral.